CUGAGCGAGGCCGGGGCGAGGGUGGGUCUGCGCGGGGCGGGGCGGGGCGGCUGCGGCAGGGCCAGCCCCCCGGCCCACCCCGCCUCCCGCUGUAGGCCUGGGCCGCGGCCCCUGGCCCCGCUUGCGGAGGGGCUGCCCGGCGCUGGCCCUGCCUCGUCGCGGCCUUUGGGUCCCUUCCGCUGGCGUGCUGAAAGGAUAUAAAGCGGUGACGAGGUGGCUUCGGGUCUUCGUUGCCUUCCCGCGCGGAGCUAGAGCAGGGCCUGGCAGGAGGAUGAAAGGAAAAUCCAAGGAGGAGCUUUGGAAGCCUCAGGGUUCAAGGCUGUGGUCGUUGUCCAGUAAUAAAAAGGGGAAUGGGAAUAAUUAGCAAAAUGGUUGUAGCUAUUAAUUUGAAAGGUCAGCACAGAGAAUUAGUGGACGUUAAAUGCUGAACUGAAAUAAAAUACAGCAUGCUUGUCCAUACCGAAAGGUUAAGAAUGCUUUUGAGAAUCUCUGUAAAAGUGAAAAUGUCGCUGAAGUGGAGGUUCUUGAGGGUGGGAGAUGGGAUUGACAGCUAGGGUGCAUCUGCUCCUUGGCUAAGUCGUCUGCUCAGCAGGGGCCACCAGGCUCUCUGUGGUCUGUCACUGGACCACCACGACAGCCAGAUGGUCUGAGAGACUCAGCAUCAGCUCACAGCUAACCCUGUGCUGGCUUUGUGUGAUGAAUUCAUAAUCUCUUAAAAUGGGAGUUCAUUCCUCUGCUUUGUGAAGCCCUUACUUUUUUCUGAAGCAGUACUGAGGAAAGAGACUGAAGCAUUACAUAGACUUCACUGAAACAAGUCCUCAUCCUUCAUCACACAUCUUUUCUAAGAAACUGUAAGAGAGAAACUACUAUGGGAAUUUCUCUUCUGGAGUUUUAUUUCAUUUUCAAGUCAUACAGCUUGCCCUGACAACUUUAAAUCAUAUUGUGAAAUCUUAGUUGUGCAGAAACUCAUAAUUGUUCAAAAUUGGUCUUUGGGAAUGUGGAGGUCUAUUUUGGCUAUUCAUACGCAGCUGUGGAAAUGCUUAGGACUUUGCUUACCUUCAGCCAUGACAUAAAUACUUUCAUUUGUACUGAAGGUUGUUUUAAUUAUUUGCUGUCAGCCUGCUUGCCACUUGAAAAGCCUCUUGCAGCAUUCCUAGGCCUGAGUCUUUGACUUUUUUUUUCACUGUGGUGCUUCAGCUUUAUUCAGUUUGAAGUCAGGCAGAAUCCUUCAUACCCAGAUACCUGGUCUCAGAUGGCUUCCCCAGUGUGAUCCCCUGCUUCCCUGUGAGCCUCUUGGAUUUGUAUGGACACGAAAAUCAUACUUGUCUAUUCUUUGAGGAGCUAUCUGAAUUUGUUUUAGAAAAUAACAGGACUCAAAGAGCUGAAGUAAACUUACUGGUUUUCCUCUUUUGUGUUAGCAAGUUUAUUGAUUUUUAAAAAUGCCUUUUUAUGAAAUGUGUUUUAGAAAAUGGGGCUUUUUCUAGACUAGAGAGCACCUUCCAUGAGCUCUUUAGUGAACACCAGGUCUGCUGAGAGCCCAGAGCUUCGCUGGAGAAGAUCCCAAACUUGGCUACACAUACUUAAACCUGCACAAAAGCCCCAGUGACCGUUUUGUCUCUUGAGUUCGUGUCCUCAUAUCAGGGAGAGCAAAGGUGAGCUAGACAGCAAGAUACACUAAACAUGCUUAUGUUUUAGGCAAGGCUUUUCCAAAUCCAUAGUUUUCUGAUACUGGUUCAAAACACUGGUAAACAGUUUGAGAGAGAGAAUCCUGAAAAUCACUUUGGACAGGAGGUGGACAAGUUGCCUGCCUGCCUCACACUGAGGGAGACCACUUCUUGCCAUUAAUUUCUCCCCUCAGUAAUUGUGAUACCAUUCAUUGUAAUUGUUAGAAGGAACCAGCAAGUAGGAGACAGAGAACACAAGGCACAGAAUAUACUGCCUGGCAUAUACAGAAUAAACCCUAAGGCACUAGGAAACACUAGAUAUACGUACAGUGACCAUGUGUGCAGCAUGUUAAUCAUAGAAUGGUUAAGGUUGGAAGGGUUCGUAAAGACCAUUAGGUUCCAACCUCCCUGCUCUGAGCGAGGACACCUCCCACUAGACCAGUAAUGCAUGGUAAACCCAGAAGUUCUCCAUGUAGUUAGGCAGCAUCCAUGAAUGUGCAUUGCCUCAGCAAAGGUUAAUGCAUUUUGUGAGAAGUGUUGAACCUGAUACGUUUUCUGUUCACCUUCAGUUGUACAGAAACAGUGAGCAUGUUUGUGCCGAAGUGGAGAUAUUUCUUCGGGAAGCAUCCAACACUGUACAGCAGCAUCAGACCUUUCACCAUGGUCAAACAACCUUACAUACACAAAUCUCAGAGAAAAACAUAAAAAUACCUUCAGGCCUUCCUAGACAAGAUUUCCAAGCACAUACACACACAAAAAGAGGACAUGGAAGGGAAUAAAAGAGCAGAUAACAGGUGUCUACAAUGGGGCUUCACUCAUCUUUGUGCUAUGAUGCCAAAAUCAAACUAAGCAUCAGCAUAAAAUUUGGAGGGGGCAAAAUCUUCUGCUUUCAAAACUGAAGGAGAAAAAGGAAAGCUUUUGUUCUCUCCAGAUGGAUACGGAGAUAUAUCUGAAGAUCAUCUCCCCCAGAGGGCAGUGCAACUUAAAGAAUGGAAAUGUCUCCCUGGCACCGUUUAAAUGGAAAUCGACAAUGAAGAUGUGUUUUUUAUCUCAACAAUGUUAACAGAAAAACAGUCGACAAGAAUCUAUUUUCUGGAGUGUAUUUGUGUACACAGGACAACUCUACAUUUCACUCAUUUUAAGCCACAUUUAAGUGAUCCACAAAAUCCUACUUGUUUUUUUCACGUUGAUCCUCUAAAUGAAAAGUAAUACUGAAAUAAUGUCUGUGAUAAAAGAUUAUGAUAUCUAGGGCUAUGUCUCUAUUGUGAGAGAGAAGUGGAGCACAAAAGAAUGAAAUUCCUGUUUCUGAUGGACUGUGCAAACACUCAUAAUAGAGAUAACUGAAAUUAAAUGCAAUUCAGGGGUCAGAUUUUUUAAGGACUGGCCUAGAGGUAAUCCUGAUUAAAAAAAAUUGAUAGGACUAUAGAAGAAUUGUUUCUCUUUAUCUUCCUCUCACAAGGUUUUUUGUUGUUGUUCCAACAAUACCCAUUCAUGUAGAUAAAAGGAAAAUGAUGCAAUAGAUUUAAAUGCUAAAGCAUUAUUAUGUAUUUUAUAUAAAUAAUUUGCAAAAUUAUGGGUUUUGUCAUAUAAAAAUAAAUUACUGAGUAGAAAUUUAUUAACAACAUAUCUAUUUUUUGUAAAUAUGUAUGGAUUUGUAUGGAUUUAAUCCUUCAGUAAAGAAGAAUGAAUAAUCUGCAACUGUUUUAAACAGCUACUGUCAUGAAGCAAAGAACAAAAAAUCAUCAGAUUGUGCAAAUUGCUGUCGUGCCAUUUGUGGCAACAGAAGAUUAAAUGCAGAUUGGGUCAAGAUUGUUACACAGUCAUCGCAAAUGAGAGAGGAAAACUAAUUUCUACUUCUGUUACUGUUAUUGUUUACUUGGAAAAAAUGCUCUCCAAGGGUAAAUUAACAAGACAGUUCCACAUCACUACAUAACAGACAGAUAUAUUUGUAAUAAAAUCAACCCCCUGUAAUUUGUGUAGCAUAGUAUGGUUCAGUGUGUCUAAAUAAUUGGGAUUUUGGAGACUGCUGCUAGCAUUUUACCAGUGUGUGAUGGAUGCUCUUAAAACCCAAUACUGACAAUUUUCAGUCUACUCCCAUUUUGCCUACUAGUCCAACCAUGAGAAGCUUUGUGUUUGUGCUAUUCAGCCUAAAGACACCUAUGGAAUUCAUCAAAGAUUUUUCCCCUGUAUUUUUUUGUCAGCCAAUAUGAUUGU
Apus apus (common swift) is the source of this 3878-nucleotide long non-coding RNA. RefSeq lists it as uncharacterized. The transcript is spliced from 3 exons. NCBI's taxonomy places the organism in Eukaryota, Metazoa, Chordata, Aves, Apodiformes, Apodidae. The record is from RefSeq and is a predicted model, not a curated record.